This is a small nucleolar RNA of Astyanax mexicanus (Mexican tetra), 130 nucleotides long. The record is from Ensembl. NCBI's taxonomy places the organism in Eukaryota, Metazoa, Chordata, Actinopteri, Characiformes, Acestrorhamphidae.
CGCUCGUUUCUUGGCAUACAUUUUGUUGUUCAGUACUCGUGUGUGUGUAAUGUUUGGAGGUAAAGCAGAGUGCUGUCUUUGGUGCCAGCGUGUUUAUACAGUGGUUCUAUCCUCAAUCACUGUAACACAC